GAUGAAGAACGUAGCGAAUUGCGAUAAGUAAUGUGAAUUGCAGAUUUUCAGUGAAUCAUCGAAUCUUUGAACGCACCUUGCGCUCCUUGGUAUUCCGAGGAGCAUGCCUGUCCGAGCGUCAUUGCUGCCCUCAAGCACGGCUUGUGUGUUGGGCUUCCGUCCCUGGCAACGGGGACGGGCCCAAAAGGCAGUGGCGGCACCAUGUCUGGUCCUCGAGCGUAUGGGGCUUUGUCACCCGCUCCCGUAGGUCCAGCUGGCAGCUAGCCUCGCAACCAAUCUUUUUAACCAGGUUGACCUCGGAUCAGGUAGGGAUACCCGCUGAACUUAAGCAUAUCAAUAAGCGGAGGA
RNAcentral lists this unclassified non-coding RNA (348 nucleotides) under soil metagenome. Its description in RNAcentral is "partial contains 5.8S ribosomal RNA, internal transcribed spacer 2, and large subunit ribosomal RNA". The stretch from base 1 to 121 matches the Rfam family "5.8S ribosomal RNA", at positions 35 to 154 of the family's 154-position model. The record is from RNAcentral.